UGUAUAUCCCAGCAGCUGACGCUGCUUCUGGCUCUUAGUAGGGCUCACAGCAUUUAAUUUGUGGCUUGAGGAUAAAAAUAGUAAUAGUUACAUUUAUUGAGCAUUGCCUCAAGCAGCUACUGCCCUGGACUUUCUCGGUGUGUUUCCUCAUUUAAGCCUUACGCCAGCCCCGUGAGGAAGGUGCUGCUUACACUCCUGACUUACAGGUGAGAAACUGGGGCACAGAGACGGGCUGAGUGAACUGCCUGGCAGUUGCCCAGACCCACAGCGGGCUGCCGGCUGCAGCACCCCUUCCAACCCCACAGCCACCGCCCCGCAGAACCUGCGGAGGGAAAGGGCAUUCCAGGUCCCAGAGGGACCAACGGCUCGAACGCACAGACAGGUGAGCGAGGGUGGGGGCACCAAGCGGCAGUGAGGCUGCGGAUGGCAUGGGGCUGACUGCAGAGGCCUCGGAGGUCCCACAAGACGCCUGGCGACCCGCCUCAUGAGGUUAUGCUGAUUCUCCCAGGACCCACCUGCCCCUAGGGGGACGCAGAGCCCUCAGCCCACAGACACCAGACGGCCCUGGUCAGACACCAGGCCACGGGGCACCGCAGCCUGGAGAUAAUCUUCAGGCCCCAACAGUCCCUCUCCUGGGACGUGUGGCACAACAGACAACUGACCCCAUGGGGCCAGGCAUUGGUGCUAAAUAUAGGCCCAGAGGCCCUGAGCGAAGGGCAGAGGCUGAGAGGCCAGCUGGCCAGACAGGAGGGGCCACAAAACAGGCCACGCACCAACACGAAAGUCCACUCUCAUCCCAGGAGCCCGGCUGGCAGCGUCUGUCGCCACGGGACAUCCACCCCCAGAGCAUGGCCUGGGCGGUUGGCAGGCGCGGCAUGUGCCCGGGUCACACGCUCGGAGGGGCCAGGCCAGGAGCGAUGACAGUGCAAUUCAGACAGUGCAGCCGGCCGCUUCAGUGGCACCGGGAAAAUUCAAAAGGAAGGGCAGAAAAGCAAGAACAGAGAGAGGAAGACAAUUUAAAAUCUGGACCCUGCAUUAGCUGAGUGAACUUGGAAAUAUAUCUUAAGGUCUCUGAGCCUCCAUCUCCUUGGGUGUGAAAUGCAGACGGCCACGUCUGCCCCUCAGGACUGUGUGAGAUAAACGCCUCGUCUGCUCUGCUCCAAGGCUUGGUCUCCCCUCCUCAGAAGAAGGAACUUGGAGCAGAUGAGCCCUGAGGACCUUUAGUUCUGACAUCCUUUGCUGGUCUGCUCCUUCAGCUCUCAUGGGACAGAGGCUGUGUGGGCAGAGGUGUCACCAUUGCCAGUCCAGGCAAGACCCAGGAGGGCCUUGGUGACUCCAUCCGAACAGCAGGAUGAUAACGCCUCCCUCACAGGACGGCCAUGCAGGUACCCGGACCCCAGGAAGAGAUGAUUCCCAAGUAGGACUCAGGCAUGGCGAGAUCCAGCAAGGAAUGGGCUGGAAUGAUCUGACACCAGUGCCCCUGCUGGAACCAGGAGGAGUGCUAACUCAGACUGCACGCUGAUGGCAUCUCCCAGCAAGGAAGAUAUCGUCUGCACAGGACUGACGAAGCAUGCUCCAAGCAUGUCCCCACCAGGCCCAGGACACCCUCCAGGGGCAAGACUCUCCCUGGAGAAGGUCAGAGCUCACAGGCAGAAGGCGCUGGGGCUACAGGUUUCUGCUGCCUGUGGCUCCUUAUCAAGGGCUGCAACUCCAGAGCAGAGCAAGACAACCUUACUAUGCCCCCCUUGGGGUGGGAAUAACUCGGCGGCUGCCAGCGGAGGAUAGUUGGCGAUUUGUACAAGGCGGGCGUGGGGUUUAGAGCUGUGAGGCUGGCUGAGGCCAUGGCUCUGCCAUCCUCUCUGUCCUGCUCGUCUGUCCUGGCCACUCUUCUCUGAGGGGUCAGUCAUGGCCCAGAAGGCCCCAGCUGGCUGCAAACAGCCUGUCCCAUGAUUGAGUUUGUACCUCAAAUCUGCUAAUUUUGAUGGAAAUCCUUCUAAGAUCCCAUUGGUCCUCCCUUUCCACGCAUGUGGGCUGUUGGAAAUAAUGGGGCCAGGACCAGACAGCCCUUUGCCAGUCCUAGGGGCCCUGCAGGGUGGUGAAGCCUCAUCCUGUGGGUGUCACCCCCACAUCUAGGAUGUCGACAGGGUGUGGGGCUGACCUGCCCUUCUCGCCCAUCUUGAGGGUGAGUGAUAUGCCCUCUCUCUGCUCCCUAUACGUGGAGAAGACCGUCUGUCUUCUCUCCCUGGAGUUUGCCUUGGUGCCCUGAGCUGGGAGGUUGAGGGGGGUCCGGAUUGCUUCCCAGGAAAGGCACUGUCGGUCGGCCCAGCCCACAGGGCAUAGCACCUGUUUUAAAGAGACGAGGAGAGGCCGGGACUCCUCUGCCUUGUCCUGGCUCCUUCUUUCCCUUCCAAAGAUGCGCCUUCUUCCCUCCAGGGACUUGGGGCCUUUGUGGGCCCUCCCCACCCCUGCCGUCUGCCCUCUGUCCACCCCGCUCCAGAACACUGCCCAGGGUGAAUGUCGGACUCUUGUCUGUUCCUCUUCAUCUCCUGAAACCAAAAUAAACUGAUAUACGAGGCAGCCAGGGCCGGGGGCCAGGAGCCGAGGCCGCAGGGCACUGCUUUUAGCAGGUGGUGUCCCAGCGCUGGGUCUGAGCCGUCCCAGGACUUGGCACUGACCCACAACCCAGCUCCACCCCACCCUCAACUGGCUCUUCCUCUCCCCUCUCUCUCUCUCCUUCCUGGAAGAGAUGUCAUUGUCAUAAGGAAAAUGUGCUGGUAUUGGCAUCCUCUCUGGGCCCCACGAGGUGUGGGACGCUAUGAAUGCCUCCCCAGCACACACACACACACACCUUUAUUCACGGGAAUUCAGAUUAAAACAAACAUGGAGGGAAGCUUGGAAGGGAGAGGCCAGGUAUGUGUGUGUGUUUGUGUGUGUGUGGCCAAGAGCCAGGCUGAGGCUGGCAGACAGUGCCAUGGCCCUCCCCAGUUCAGCCCCAGGAGCUGUGAGCACAUACAUUCAACAGCUAUUUAAGAGCACCCACUGUGUGCCAGGCACUGUUGUAGGCACUGACACACAGCAGUGAAAAGAAAGACUAUUCUAGAUGGGAGAGACGUGCAAUAAACAAAAUACAAAUAUAUGAUGGGUAAGGGGGAUGAUGAGUGCUGUGGAGAAAAAUAAAGCAGGAUAUGAGGCUGGAGAGUGGGGAGGAGAGAGUCUAUUUAGGAUCCAGAGAGUAGGGUCCCCCUGGGCCAUGCAUGAGCCCUGCAGGCUUUCUCUGGGUGGUCACAUCCUGCUUGCUGCUCCCCCCCAGCUGUUUGGUUUCUGCCUCUGCCUAUUUCUGUCCCGUAAAACCCUCCCGGGGGACUGUUCCUCAGGACCAGCUCUGGGGCCUUGUAGGAGGGCUCCAGAGAUCACUGAGGCCGGGGCUUCUCAGAUGCUUGACGCAAUUUGACGUUCAAAUUAAAACUGCAAUGAGAUACCACUCAGGCCCACCAGAAUGGAUAAUAUGAAAAAAGAUGGAAAAUACCAAGUGUUGGGCAGGAUACGGAGCAGCUGGAACUCUUGCGCGCAGCUGGCAGGAAUGUAAAUUGGUACAACACCUUUGGGAAAUUGUGUGGCAUUUACUCCAGCUGAGCAUAUACCCGCCCUAUGACCCAGCGAUUCCCAUCUUGGGUGUAUACCCCACAGAAACGGGCGCGCAGAUCCACCAAAUUAAUGUUCUAAAAUAUUCAUAGCUACACUCUUCAGCAUUGCCCCAAACCGGGACCCACCCAAAUGUCCACCAACAGUAGGAUGGAUAAACUGUGAUGUAUUUGUAGUGUGGAAUACUAUGCAGCCGCGAGAAGGAACAAUCUGCAACUACAUGAAACGAUAUGGGUGGAUCUCACAGUAAACUGAUGAACGAAAGAGGACACAGGUGUGGCUCUACUCACGUGAAGUUCAGAACAAUCUGUGCCGCUGGAGGGCCGGAGGGCGGUCACCCCUGGCGGGAAGUGGUGGGUGGUGGUGUAGAGGUGAGGGCGGGGACCAAAGAGGCUUCCUGGGUUCUGCUAAUAGUCUCUCUUUGAUGUGGAUGCCGGGUGUGUUCAGUUCGUGAAAUGCAAUGGAGCUGGACACUUAGGACCCGCGCGCUUUUCUGUGGGUCUGUUACACUUUAAUAA
This is a long non-coding RNA of Equus asinus (donkey), 4160 nucleotides long. Lineage: Eukaryota; Metazoa; Chordata; Mammalia; Perissodactyla; Equidae. The record is from Ensembl.